UGGGGAAUAUUGCACAAUGGGCGCAAGCCUGAUGCAGCCAUGCCGCGUGUGUGAAGAAGGCCUUCGGGUUGUAAAGCACUUUCAGCGAGGAGGAAGGUGGUGAGCUUAAUACGCUCAUCAAUUGACGUUACUCGCAGAAGAAGCACCGGCUAACUCCGUGCCAGCAGCCGCGGUAAUACGGAGGGUGCAAGCGUUAAUCGGAACUACUGGGCGUAAAGCGCACGCAGGCGGUUUGUUAAGUCAGAUGUGAAAAUCCCCGGGCUCAACCUGGGAACUGCAUUUGAAACUGGCAAGCUAGAGUCUCGUAGAGGGGGGUAGAAUUCCAGGUGUAGCGGUGAAAUGCGUAGAGAUCUGGAGGAAUACCGGUGGCGAAGGCGGCCCCCUGGACGAAGACUGACGCCCAGGUGCGAAAGCGUGGGGAGCAAAACAGGAUUAGAGUACCCUGGUAGUCCACGCUGUAAACGAUGUCGAUUUGGAGGUUGUGCCCUUGAGGCGUGGCUUCCGGAGCUAACGCGUU
RNAcentral lists this ribosomal RNA (517 nucleotides) under uncultured bacterium. Its description in RNAcentral is "partial 16S ribosomal RNA". It matches the Rfam family "Bacterial small subunit ribosomal RNA", at positions 355 to 861 of the family's 1533-position model. The record is from RNAcentral.